This 563-nucleotide long non-coding RNA is filed under the name Ananas comosus (pineapple). RNAcentral describes it as "long non-coding RNA (ACOM_LNC001060)". The record is from RNAcentral. Lineage: Eukaryota; Viridiplantae; Streptophyta; Magnoliopsida; Poales; Bromeliaceae.
AUGAUGUUUUAGUUUCAGUUUUCUUUUAUGGCCUGUAACUAUGACUAGACUACUCUCAUGUUUUUCUAGUAUGUUUUCUCUUUCUAUUUGCUUUCUUUUGGCAAUUUUUUGCAAAAAGGGGGAGAGCGUAGAUGAAGGGGGAGAGCAUGGAUGAGCAGGCUUUGACACUGAAGCAGAGGAUGAUAAGUUCAAGAACAAAGGGGGAGAUGUGAACAAAGGGGGAGAAGGUAUAAGAAUUUAGUGCUAAUCAUUUUUGAAUGAAGUAUUUUGCAGGAAAUCAAGACUUCAUGACUCCUAGUUGCGUCUAAGUCAUAGAGUCUGUUUUAGGAGUUUUGAUGUAAUUUUGAGUUUCAUAUUGUAUUUGGAUUACACGCGAGGGGUUCGAUGUUUUGGUGAUGACAUUGAACUUCGUUUUUUCUUUAAAUUGUAAUUUGUGAGUUUGUGUGUGUUUUGUCACGAAAUUGCCAAAGGGGGAGAUUGUUAGGUCCUAUGUGUUGGCAAGUUUCGUGGGUCGAGUCGGAGUCUUGAAGAAGUUCGGAGCGGAGUAUUGAAGAUCGAAGAAU